This 107-nucleotide small nuclear RNA is filed under the name Octodon degus (degu). Lineage: Eukaryota; Metazoa; Chordata; Mammalia; Rodentia; Octodontidae. The record is from RNAcentral.
GUGCUCGCUUCAGCAGAACAUAUACUAAAAUUGGAACAAUACACAGAAGAUUAGCAUGGCCCCUACGCAAGGAUGACAAACAAAUUCGUGAAGCAUUCCAUGUAUUU